ACCCCUGUGAGAAUGCCCUAGUUUCCUGCUUGGGAACAAGGAGCUGGUAUCAGGCACAACCUCUUCGUAAGCCCAUGACACCUUGCUUAGCCACACCCCCAAGGGAAUUCAGCAGUGAUAAACAUUAAGCCAUGAGUGAAAACUCGACUUAGUUAAAGCUAAAAGGGCCGGUAAAACUCGUGCCAGCCACCGCGGUUAUACGAGAGGCCCAAGUUGAUAAGCAUCGGCGUAAAGAGUGGUUAAGACGAACCGAAAACUAAAGCCGAACACCCUCACAGCUGUUAUACGCAAACACGAGAGUCAGAAGCUCACCUACGAAAGUGGCUUUAUUACAUCUGAACCCACGAAAGCUAAGGUACAAACUGGGAUUAGAUACCCCACUAUGCCUAGCCCUAAAUAUUGAUAGAGAACUACACCCCCUAUCCGCCCGGGUACUACGAGUGUCAACUUAAAACCCAAAGGACUUGGCGGUGCUUUAGAUCCACCUAGAGGAGCCUGUUCUAGAACCGAUAACCCCCGUUCAACCUCACCCUUCCUUGUUCCUCCCGCCUAUAUACCGCCGUCGUCAGCUUACCCUGUGAAGGCCUUACAGUAAGCAAAAUUGGCUAACCCCAAAACGCCAGGUCGAGGUGUAGCGCAUGGAAGGGGAAGAAAUGGGCUACAUUCACUAUGUCAGUGAAUACGGACAAUGCAUUGAAAUAUGCAAUUGAAGGAGGAUUUAGCAGUAAGUGGAAAGCAGAGUGUCCCACUGAAAACGGCCCUGAAGCGCGCACACACCGCCCGUCACUCUCCCCGAGCCCCACAAUACCCCAAUUUCUAAAACCUUUUUUUGCAAAAGGGGAGGCAAGUCGUAACAUGGUAAGUGUACCGGAAGGUGUACUUGGAAAAUA
RNAcentral lists this non-coding RNA (890 nucleotides) under Plectorhinchus gibbosus (Harry hotlips). Its description in RNAcentral is "partial 12S ribosomal RNA". It matches the Rfam family "Bacterial small subunit ribosomal RNA", at positions 262 to 1533 of the family's 1533-position model. Lineage: Eukaryota; Metazoa; Chordata; Actinopteri; Lutjaniformes; Haemulidae. The record is from RNAcentral.